GCUGGCCAGAAAGGGGGUCUCUUCCGGGAGUCGAGCCCGAGUGAAAUUUAAAAGGCCGUAUAAGUAUCGUGCAAUGCUCCCCUGUAUUUUUCUUCAAAAAUAACUGAAGCUAUUGUAUAACCUCUUCCCUUCUCCCCUGCUCUGUUGGGAAAGGGUUUUUCUACUUCGCUCCUACCCACCUAUACAUUCACCUUGUAGUUAGUGCAAUACCCUUUCGUCCUCUGCCGGCCAUUGCCUUUUGCUCCUUCAGAGGGCCGGGGAAUCGGUGGGUGUCUGCCUAUUAUUUAGAAAACUGCCGGAUAGGGGCAUUCAGCAGAUGAUUGACUCCAAUGACAACAAGACCUGCAUCUAAAAUAAUAUUGGCCUUCUUCACUGGCAGAAAACAUCUUGCACUUUCAGUCUCUGGAGAGAAGCAGACUCAGUUCUCUUUUAACUACUUCUGCAGAAGACUCUCACUGGAGGGCCCAGUUUGGUCAAGGACUAGAUGUCACUUCUGCCUGGAAUGGAGUCUCUGGAUGGCACAAGGUACUCGGGUGAUGACCGAAGAAUUGGAGGUGUGAGUCCAUCCAGAGGCACUUCAGAAGAAAGGGCUCACAAUCCAUUUCUGAAAAAUCAGCCAUUGGAGCACAGUUCUCCUCUGACACACACAGCUUGUGUUGGAAUAGGCUAGAUGAUAGCUGGUUUGAUCUGGUCUGCCUGAAAUGGACUUUCUACCAGUUCUUUCCACCCCAGCCCCUCCACAUGUUCCCCUUCAGAAAGCCCUUCCCCAACAGCCAUGUUGUCCCCCACCUGCCCUCACCCCCUACUUUCUAACACAGAUUUGGCUUCAUAAAGGAAUGGUAAUGGGGGGUUUUGUUUGUUUACUUCCCGUGUUGGAUAUCGGCUACACCAGGAGCAGGGCCUGGUCUCUGAUGCUUCCGGCACUGAACACAAGGCUCAUCACACAUUAGGUGCCAAGUCAUGACUGGUUUGAUGAAUUCUGCUGAAGACCUCCUGUGUAUGUUCUAUCAUUUUUCACCCAUGCCAUCCUCGGGUCACCACUGUUCUGGGGAUCCAGCACUUUUCUCUGGUGGCAGCAUCUCAGCACCUGAGACAUGCUCACCAAGGACAGUAUGCAUGUGUGCCCUUUCUCCUUCUCUAGUUUCAGCCUGUGCAAACUUCUGAGGUUACCAUUGGUGCCUGCCAUUUCUGCCCAUCAGGCUGCACAGCCAGGCCUCACCCUAGGUAGGGGCUCAGCUCUGGGUAGGUGGAGCCACAGGAUCCCCCUGCGGAACUAUGGGGUGGGACCCAGCUGGGGCCAAGUGUGCCAAGGCCACGUCCCAGUCAAGGUGAUACACCCCUAUCGGCGGGGACGGGGCAUCUUCCACGAAGGGGGUUCACAUCCCAGCAAGGGGGGCCACCAACCAGCAAGAGGAGGCUAUCUUCCAGUAAGGGGGGCCACCUACCAACGGGGGGCUACACGUUCCACCAAGUGCAGA
Molecule: long non-coding RNA, 1478 nt
Organism: Loxodonta africana (African savanna elephant)
Lineage: Eukaryota; Metazoa; Chordata; Mammalia; Proboscidea; Elephantidae
Exons: 3
Source: RefSeq, a predicted model, not a curated record